RNAcentral lists this ribosomal RNA (802 nucleotides) under uncultured bacterium. RNAcentral's name for it is "bacterial SSU rRNA". It matches the Rfam family "Bacterial small subunit ribosomal RNA", at positions 96 to 899 of the family's 1533-position model. The record is from RNAcentral.
CGGCGCACGGGUGCGUAACGCGUAUGCAAUCUACCUUUUACAGAGGGAUAGCCCAGAGAAAUUUGGAUUAAUACCUCAUAGUAUAACACAACCGCAUGGUUGAGUUAUUAAAGUUCCAACGGUAAAAGAUGAGCAUGCGUCCCAUUAGCUAGAUGGUAAGGUAACGGCUUACCAUGGCGACGAUGGGUAGGGGUCCUGAGAGGGAGAUCCCCCACACUGGUACUGAGACACGGACCAGACUCCUACGGGAGGCAGCAGUGAGGAAUAUUGGUCAAUGGGCGCAAGCCUGAACCAGCCAUGCCGCGUGCAGGAUGACGGUCCUAUGGAUUGUAAACUGCUUUUGUACAGGAAGAAACAGUUCUACGUGUAGAACCUUGACGGUACUGUAAGAAUAAGGAUCGGCUAACUCCGUGCCAGCAGCCGCGGUAAUACGGAGGAUCCAAGCGUUAUCCGGAAUCAUUGGGUUUAAAGGGUCCGUAGGCGGUUUUGUAAGUCAGUGGUGAAAGCCCAUCGCUCAACGGUGGAACGGCCAUUGAUACUGCAAAACUUGAAUUAUUGGGAAGUAACUAGAAUAUGUAGUGUAGCGGUGAAAUGCUUAGAUAUUACAUGGAAUACCAAUUGCGAAGGCAGGUUACUAUCAAUAUAUUGACGCUGAUGGACGAAAGCGUGGGGAGCGAACAGGAUUAGAUACCCUGGUAGUCCACGCCGUAAACGAUGGAUACUAGCUGUUCGAGAGCAAUCUUGAGUGGCUAAGCGAAAGUGAUAAGUAUCCCACCUGGGGAGUACGUUCGCAAGAAUGAAC